AUCCCUACUUAAAUUUCCAUCAACCUUUCUGUUCCCUCUUCUCAAUCUAGAACCCUGACAUGUAUUUUUAUGGGUUGUUCCUAGAUGUCUUCUUUCCUCUGAUUUGUUUCUUGAUUUGUUGGGCUUAUAAGAUUCUCUUCUUGCCAUUUUGUUUAUGUAAUAGCCAUUCAAUAUUGUUGCUAAUAAUCCAGAAUUAUUGUAUUUUCCAGAACCCGAGAAUUUUUCUUCCUUCUAUCUGAUCAUUGUCAUGUCGAUAAUCACCGGUGGAAAUUGCCAUGUUUUAGCUUCAAACUCCCUCUCCCUCUCCCUCUCCCUCUCCCCUCCUUUUCUACUUGGGUUUCUACGAUCUUAAACUUCAAACAUCAAGCUCCAAGAAUUAUGAAUUCACUGCUUGGUUUAACGUUUCUUAGUUAACAUCCUUAACGUGUUUGGAAAAAUGUCCCAAUGAAACUACUGUUAAUAAAACUUGCUAAGAAUUGAUACUUUUAAGCUUAAACACAAAUGCACUCAAGGGCUUUAAAAAAUCUUGUUAUUUUUAAGCAUUUUUUUUUGUAGUACUUAUCUUUGGAUGUUUUGAGGAGGAGAGGAAUGUCAGUCUUGCAAGGGACUUGCAGUGGAACUGGUCAAGCGUCCCAGUGAAUAUGAUUGUAUUAAGGUUCUUCUGUUACUGAACAGGGCCUUAGCUGCGAGAUCCAAAACACAUCUAACAUGGAGUGCUACUUUUCAUUGACAAAUACUUCAUAGUUUAGAUUGUUUUUACCAUUAUCAACUAAGUGGCUCACAAACAACUAAGUUUGUUAUAUGUUUGGAUCUAGUUAGGGUUCUGGUGUUUCAAGGAUUUAUUGGGUAGGGUUAGGUUUAGCAUUUCUUUGUUACUGAGAAUUUUGUAGAUUAGAUAGAGAUGACUUGUUUUUCUGUUUGGUGUUUUUUUAUAGGGAAUGAGACUUGCAAAAUUAAUUAAAUUAGGCUCGAAAAAGGUGGAGGUGCUGAGAAAUUAGCCACGUAAUGCGUGGCUGCGUUGGAUGGAUAGGUGCUUUUGUGUUUAUGUUGUGAUAACACUGUGGGUUGCGGGAAAAACUGAAAGAAAGAAAGCGAAGUAGGAGAGAUGGUACUUGUGGUUUUUUAUUCUGGGUGAAUUUUUAAAUGCUAACAAAAAAAACUUAACUAAACUUCGUAGACUCACAUGCAUUGUUUUGCCCAGGCCUUUUUUGGAAGGAUUCCUAGAUUCGAUGAUGGCUAUUUGGUUAUUGCUUAUUCUGAAGUUAUUGUUAACUCCAUUGGUUUGUUUUUGCAAUUCAUCUCUUGGUGUUUUGUGUUUUUGCUGGAUUCCCACUAGGAUAACGUGAAUGGGAAAUCAAAACUUAACCGAAUUUAAUCGUUACAAGAUGAACCAUAUUGGAUAUAAUGUGUUUUAAUAUGAUUCGGUUUUGCAGAUAAUUUAUAUUUUGAAAAGUUAAUUGAGCAGCUACAAGAAGCGGCCCUCUGGAAGAAGAAGAGUCAUACAAAGAUGAUCUAGUUGAAUUGUCAGGCGAGGAAGAUGCAGAACUGAAUGCUGAAAUGAACGAUGAAGUGACAAAACCCAAGCAGGAUGAGGAUGUAGGAGUUGAGGAAGAUCAGGAAGAGAAUGUUUCUGAAGACCACCAUGGUCCACUGAAAUCUGGUGAUGGUGAUGAGGACAUAGAUAUAUGGAGUUCAUUUAGAAGUGAAUUUUAGUUAUUAUGCUUAAGGCUCGAUAUGAAGCUUUAAUGAGGCAGGAAGAGCUGCUUGCUUACAUAGAUAGUCAAGAAGAAGCUGAGUUCCACCGGGAAAAGUAGUUGUGCUGGUAAAGCUUUUUUAUGCCAAGGGAGAGAGUAUAUGGCGCUCUUGUUUGUGUGGAACUUUGGAUACACCUUCGAGAUCUCAGGUUAAUCGUGACUGAACAGCACUGUAGGGGAUGGGAACCAUCUCAGAGAAUUAAAUAUCUUAAGUUUUCUCUCGGAUGUCUGCUGACGUGGAGAAUCCUAAAGCUGAAGAAGAACGGAAAGGCACAGGAUACUCCUUUUUAGAGAAUGUGUGUGUACUUUCGCAUAGCUUUAAAAAGAAA
Long non-coding RNA from Populus euphratica (Euphrates poplar), 2083 nucleotides. RefSeq lists it as uncharacterized. The record is from RefSeq and is a predicted model, not a curated record. Lineage: Eukaryota; Viridiplantae; Streptophyta; Magnoliopsida; Malpighiales; Salicaceae. The transcript is spliced from 6 exons.